This is a long non-coding RNA of Syngnathus acus (greater pipefish), 641 nucleotides long. RefSeq lists it as uncharacterized. The record is from RefSeq and is a predicted model, not a curated record. The transcript has 2 exons. NCBI's taxonomy places the organism in Eukaryota, Metazoa, Chordata, Actinopteri, Syngnathiformes, Syngnathidae.
CCAAACGCCCUGACGCAGGGUCUGAGCAACGUGGGAGCCCAUCUCUGCCUCCCUCUCUUCCUCUUCCUCCUCGUCCUCCUCCUCCACCACCUCCUCCCCGCUCAGCGGGUGCUAUGCGCCUCCAUGUCGCCUCCGCGGCACGGCUCCUCCCUCAUGGCCCGUGGGUCCGGCUAGCGGCGGUUCUGGCGUCUCCCAUCCCGGCGUCAACGGGAGAAUCAUCUCCAGCGCCGCUGUCCUCAUCCUGCUCGGCUCGCCUUCCUUACUCUCGCCCUCUCUGUCUCCUCUUCCUCGCUGGCUCGACAGAUGCGCAGAUUUGACCGCCUCCUCCCCCCUCAGUCCCUGCUUCCCUUCCCCUUCCCACCCGUCCCUCCUCCCCCUCUCCUCCCGUAUUAUGUGAUUCCCACCUUCACUGUUCUGCACAUAAUAGCUUGCAUUCACAUGUCACGUUUAGUGCUAUUAGCUUGUCUGUUUUUGUCUUGUUAAUUCACAAACUGUGGGGCGGGGGAUUCAAAAUACCUCACUGGUCCAUUUUUGUUAUGAAUUGUGAUGAUGAUGCAUUGUAUGUUUUUACAUGUAAAUAUAUACGUAUAUAUAUGUUUUUUACCAAAACCCCUGAGCCAAAUAAAUGCCUUUUAAAUGAA